UGAAGCAGUAAGGAGAGGCUCCAUGCUGAGU
Molecule: non-coding RNA, 31 nt
Filed under: Rattus norvegicus (Norway rat)
Lineage: Eukaryota; Metazoa; Chordata; Mammalia; Rodentia; Muridae
Source: RNAcentral